This 750-nucleotide ribosomal RNA is filed under the name uncultured bacterium. Its description in RNAcentral is "bacterial SSU rRNA". It matches the Rfam family "Bacterial small subunit ribosomal RNA", at positions 8 to 749 of the family's 1533-position model. The record is from RNAcentral.
AGAGUUUGAUCCUGGCUCAGAUUGAACGCUGGCGGCAGGCCUAACACAUGCAAGUCGGGCGGUAACACAGGGAGCUUGCUCCUGGGUGACGAGCGGCGGACGGGUGAGUAAUGUCUGGGAAACUGCCUGAUGGAGGGGGAUAACUACUGGAAACGGUAGCUAAUACCGCAUAACGUCGCAAGACCAAAGAGGGGGACCUUCGGGCCUCUUGCCAUCAGAUGUGCCCAGAUGGGAUUAGCUAGUAGGUGGGGUAACGGCUCACCUAGGCGACGAUCCCUAGCUGGUCUGAGAGGAUGACCAGCCACACUGGAACUGAGACACGGUCCAGACUCCUACGGGAGGCAGCAGUGGGGAAUAUUGCACAAUGGGCGCAAGCCUGAUGCAGCCAUGCCGCGUGUAUGAAGAAGGCCUUCGGGUUGUAAAGUACUUUCAGCGGGGAGGAAGGUGUUGUGGUUAAUAACCACAGCAAUUGACGUUACCCGCAGAAGAAGCACCGGCUAACUCCGUGCCAGCAGCCGCGGUAAUACGGAGGGUGCAAGCGUUAAUCGGAAUUACUGGGCGUAAAGCGCACGCAGGCGGUCUGUCAAGUCGGAUGUGAAAUCCCCGGGCUCAACCUGGGAACUGCAUUCGAAACUGGCAGGCUAGAGUCUUGUAGAGGGGGGUAGAAUUCCAGGUGUAGCGGUGAAAUGCGUAGAGAUCUGGAGGAAUACCGGUGGCGAAGGCGGCCCCCUGGACAAAGACUGACGCUCA